Mesocricetus auratus (golden hamster) is the source of this 107-nucleotide small nuclear RNA. The record is from Ensembl. NCBI's taxonomy places the organism in Eukaryota, Metazoa, Chordata, Mammalia, Rodentia, Cricetidae.
GUGCUCAUUUUGCCAGCACAUAUACUAAAAUUGGAAUGAUACACAGAAGCUUAGCAUAGACCAUGUACAAGGAUGAUGUGUAAAUUCAUGAAGAGUUCCAUAUUUUU